UACGAAGGGUGCAAGCGUUAGUCGGAAUUACUGGGCGUAAAGCGUGCGUAGGCGGUUUCUUAAGUCCGUUGUGAAAGCCCUGGGCUCAACCUGGGAACUGCAGUGGAUACUGAGAGGCUAGAGUGUGUCAGAGGAUGGUGGAAUUCCCGGUGUAGCGGUGAAAUGCGUAGAGAUCGGGAGGAACAUCAGUGGCGAAGGCGGCCAUCUGGGACAACACUGACGCUGAGGAGCGAAAGCCAGGGGAGCAAACGGG
Molecule: ribosomal RNA, 253 nt
Filed under: uncultured bacterium
Lineage: Bacteria
Description: partial 16S ribosomal RNA
Rfam family: Bacterial small subunit ribosomal RNA
Source: RNAcentral